This 468-nucleotide ribosomal RNA is filed under the name uncultured bacterium. Its description in RNAcentral is "partial 16S ribosomal RNA". It matches the Rfam family "Bacterial small subunit ribosomal RNA", at positions 28 to 507 of the family's 1533-position model. The record is from RNAcentral.
GACGAACGCUGGCGGCGUGCUUAACACAUGCAAGUCGAACGGAAAGGCCCUGCUUUUGUGGGGUGCUCGAGUGGCGAACGGGUGAGUAACACGUGAGUAACCUGCCCUUGACUUUGGGAUAACUUCAGGAAACUGGGGCUAAUACCGGAUAGGAGCUCCUGCUGCAUGGUGGGGGUUGGAAAGUUUCGGCGGUUGGGGAUGGACUCGCGGCUUAUCAGCUUGUUGGUGGGGUAGUGGCUUACCAAGGCUUUGACGGGUAGCCGGCCUGAGAGGGUGACCGGCCACAUUGGGACUGAGAUACGGCCCAGACUCCUAAGGGAGGCAGCAGUGGGGAAUAUUGCACAAUGGGCGGAAGCCUGAUGCAGCAACGCCGCGUGCGGGAUGACGGCCUUCGGGUUGUAAACCGCUUUCGCCUGUGACGAAGCGUGAGUGACGGUAAUGGGUAAAGAAGCACCGGCUAACCACGUG